This 252-nucleotide ribosomal RNA is filed under the name uncultured bacterium. RNAcentral's name for it is "partial 16S ribosomal RNA". It matches the Rfam family "Bacterial small subunit ribosomal RNA", at positions 524 to 776 of the family's 1533-position model. The record is from RNAcentral.
UACGUAGGUGGCAAGCGUUGUUCGGAAUUACUGGGCGUAAGGGCUCGUAGGCGGCCAACUAAGUCAGACGUGAAAUCCCUCAGCUUAACUGGGGAACUGCGUCUGAUACUGGAUGGCUUGGAUUCGGGAGAGGAAUGCGGAAUUCCAGGUGUAGCGGUGAAAUGCGUAGAUAUCUGGAGGAACACCGGUGGCGAAGGCGGCAUUCUGGACCGAUAUUGACGCUGAGGAGCGAAAGCCAGGGGAGCAAACGGG